This 497-nucleotide ribosomal RNA is filed under the name uncultured bacterium. Its description in RNAcentral is "partial 16S ribosomal RNA". It matches the Rfam family "Bacterial small subunit ribosomal RNA", at positions 28 to 507 of the family's 1533-position model. The record is from RNAcentral.
GAUGAACGCUGGCGGCGUGCCUAAUACAUGCAAGUCGAGCGAACGGACGAGAAGCUUGCUUCUCUGAUGUUAGCGGCGGACGGGUGAGUAACACGUGGAUAACCUACCUAUAAGACUGGGAUAACUUCGGGAAACCGGAGCUAAUACCGGAUGAUAUUUUGAACCGCAUGGUUCAAAAGUGAAAGACGGCCUUGCUGUCACUUAUAGAUGGAUCCGCGCUGCAUUAGCUAGUUGGUAAGGUAACGGCUUACCAAGGCAACGAUGCAUAGCCGACCUGAGAGGGUGAUCGGCCACACUGGAACUGAGACACGGUCCAGACUCCUACGGGAGGCAGCAGUAGGGAAUCUUCCGCAAUGGGCGAAAGCCUGACGGAGCAACGCCGCGUGAGUGAUGAAGGUCUUCGGAUCGUAAAACUCUGUUAUUAGGGAAGAACAUAUGUGUAAGUAACUGUGCACACCUUGACGGUACCUAAUCAGAAAGCCACGGCUAACUACGUG